This 253-nucleotide ribosomal RNA is filed under the name uncultured bacterium. RNAcentral describes it as "partial 16S ribosomal RNA". It matches the Rfam family "Bacterial small subunit ribosomal RNA", at positions 524 to 776 of the family's 1533-position model. The record is from RNAcentral.
UACAGAGGUCUCAAGCGUUGUUCGGAUUCAUUGGGCGUAAAGGGUGCGUAGGCGGCGCGGUAAGUCGGGUGUGAAAUCUUGGAGCUUAACUCCGAAACUGCAUUCGAUACUGCCGUGCUUGAGGACAGGAGAGGAGACUGGAAUUUACGGUGUAGCGGUGAAAUGCGUAGAUAUCGUAAGGAAGACCAGUGGCGAAGGCGGGUCUCUGGACAGUUCCUGACGCUGAGGCACGAAGGCCAGGGGAGCAAACGGG